Molecule: ribosomal RNA, 511 nt
Filed under: uncultured soil bacterium
Lineage: Bacteria
Description: bacterial SSU rRNA
Rfam family: Bacterial small subunit ribosomal RNA
Source: RNAcentral
AGAUUGAACGCUGGCGGCAGGCUUAACACAUGCAAGUCGAGCGGUAGCAGGUCCUUCGGGAUGCUGACGAGCGGCGGACGGGUGAGUAACACAUAGGAAUCUGCCCAGUAGUGGGGGGAUAGCCCGGGGAAACCCGGAUUAAUACCGCGUACGCCCUUAGGGGGAAAGCAGGGGAUCUUCGGACCUUGCGCUAUUGGAUGAGCCUAUGUCGGAUUAGCUAGUUGGUGGGGUAAAGCCUACCAAGGCGACGAUCCGUAGCUGGUCUGAGAGGAUGAUCAGCCACAUCGGGACUGAGACACGGCCCGAACUCCUACGGGAGGCAGCAGUGGGGAAUAUUGGACAAUGGGGGCAACCCUGAUCCAGCCAUGCCGCGUGUGUGAAGAAGGUCUUUCGGGUUGUAAAGGCUACUUUCAGUAGAGGAGGAAAACCUUGCGAUUAAUACUCGUAGGCUUAGACGUUACUCACAGAAGAAGCACCGGCUAACUCCGCGCCAGCAGCCGCGUAAUCGUGA